UACGGAGGGAGCUAGCGUUGUUCGGAAUUACUGGGCGUAAAGCGUGCGCAGGCGGUUUUGUAAGUCUGUCGUGAAAGCCCCGGGCUUAACCUGGGAAUUGCGAUGGAGACUGCAAGGCUUGAAUCUGGCAGAGGGGGGUAGAAUUCCACGUGUAGCAGUGAAAUGCGUAGAGAUGUGGAGGAACACCGAUGGCGAAGGCAGCCUUCUGGGCCAACACUGACGCUCAUGCACGAAAGCGUGGGGAGCAAACAGG
RNAcentral lists this ribosomal RNA (253 nucleotides) under uncultured bacterium. RNAcentral describes it as "partial 16S ribosomal RNA". It matches the Rfam family "Bacterial small subunit ribosomal RNA", at positions 524 to 776 of the family's 1533-position model. The record is from RNAcentral.